GUGAUCAUGAUGUAAUAGUUAGCAUCCAGCCCUGUGAAGGCUGACGUGCGGGUGCAAGUCCCGUUGAUCACCCCA
RNAcentral lists this transfer RNA (75 nucleotides) under Verrucomicrobium spinosum DSM 4136 = JCM 18804. Its description in RNAcentral is "tRNA-His (GTG) (tRNA-His-GTG-2-1)". It matches the Rfam family "tRNA". Rfam says of the family: Transfer RNA (tRNA) molecules are approximately 80 nucleotides in length. Lineage: Bacteria; Pseudomonadati; Verrucomicrobiota; Verrucomicrobiia; Verrucomicrobiales; Verrucomicrobiaceae. The record is from RNAcentral.